GCGUGGGUAACCUGCCCUGUACAGGGGGAUAACAGUUAGAAAUGACUGCUAAUACCGCAUAAGCAUACGGAGAGGCAUCUCUCUGUGUGAAAAACUCCGGUGGUACAGGAUGGGCCCGCGUCUGAUUAGCUUGUUGGCAGGGUAAGAGCCUACCAAGGAAAAAAUCAGUAACCGUUCUUUGGGGAAAAACGGCCCCAUUGGAAGUGAGACACGGUCCAAACUCCUGCGCGAGGCAGCAGUGGGGAAUAUUUCAAA
RNAcentral lists this ribosomal RNA (255 nucleotides) under uncultured bacterium. Its description in RNAcentral is "partial 16S ribosomal RNA". It matches the Rfam family "Bacterial small subunit ribosomal RNA", at positions 115 to 370 of the family's 1533-position model. The record is from RNAcentral.